CAGCCGCCGCGGUAAUACGAAGGGUGCAAGCGUUAAUCGGAAUUACUGGGCGUAAAGCGUGCGUAGGCGGUUUGUUAAGUCUGUUGUGAAAUCCCCGGGCUCAAUCUGGGAAUAGCAAUGGAUACUGGCAAGCUAGAGUGUGUCAGAGGAUGGUGGAAUUCCCGGUGUAGCGGUGAAAUGCGUAGAGAUCGGGAGGAACAUCAGUGGCGAAGGCGGCCAUCUGGGACAACACUGACGCUGAGGCACGAAAGCGUGGGGAGCAAACAGGAUUAGAUACCCCCGUAGUCCCUGUCUCUUAUAC
Molecule: ribosomal RNA, 301 nt
Filed under: uncultured bacterium
Lineage: Bacteria
Description: partial 16S ribosomal RNA
Rfam family: Bacterial small subunit ribosomal RNA
Source: RNAcentral